GGGUUGUGAGGUUAAGCGACUAAGCGUACACGGUGGAUGCCCUGGCAGUCAGAGGCGAUGAAGGACGUGCUAAUCUGCGAUAAGCGUCGGUAAGGUGAUAUGAACCGUUAUAACCGGCGAUUUCCGAAUGGGGAAACCCAGUGUGAUUCGUCACACUAUCAUUAACUGAAUCCAUAGGUUAAUGAGGCGAACCGGGGGAACUGAAACAUCUAAGUACCCCGAGGAAAAGAAAUCAACCGAGAUUCCCCCAGUAGCGGCGAGCGAACGGGGAGCAGCCCAGAGCCUGAAUCAGUGUGUGUGUUAGUGGAAGCGUCUGGAAAGGCGCGCGAUACAGGGUGACAGCCCCGUACACAAAAAUGCACAUACUGUGAGCUCGAUGAGUAGGGCGGGACACGUGGUAUCCUGUCUGAAUAUGGGGGGACCAUCCUCCAAGGCUAAAUACUCCUGACUGACCGAUAGUGAACCAGUACCGUGAGGGAAAGGCGAAAAGAACCCCGGCGAGGGGAGUGAAAAAGAACCUGAAACCGUGUACGUACAAGCAGUGGGAGCACAGAGCAAUCUGUGUGACUGCGUACCUUUUGUAUAAUGGGUCAGCGACUUAUAUUCUGUAGCAAGGUUAACCGAAUAGGGGAGCCGAAGGGAAACCGAGUCUUAACUGGGCGUUAAGUUGCAGGGUAUAGACCCGAAACCCGGUGAUCUAGCCAUGGGCAGGUUGAAGGUUGGGUAACACUAACUGGAGGACCGAACCGACUAAUGUUGAAAAAUUAGCGGAUGACUUGUGGCUGGGGGUGAAAGGCCAAUCAAACCGGGAGAUAGCUGGUUCUCCCCGAAAGCUAUUUAGGUAGCGCCUCGUGAAUUCAUCUCCGGGGGUAGAGCACUGUUUCGGCAAGGGGGUCAUCCCGACUUACCAACCCGAUGCAAACUGCGAAUACCGGAGAAUGUUAUCACGGGAGACACACGGCGGGUGCUAACGUCCGUCGUGAAGAGGGAAACAACCCAGACCGCCAGCUAAGGUCCCAAAGUCAUGGUUAAGUGGGAAACGAUGUGGGAAGGCCCAGACAGCCAGGAUGUUGGCUUAGAAGCAGCCAUCAUUUAAAGAAAGCGUAAUAGCUCACUGGUCGAGUCGGCCUGCGCGGAAGAUGUAACGGGGCUAAACCAUGCACCGAAGCUGCGGCAGCGACGCUUAUGCGUUGUUGGGUAGGGGAGCGUUCUGUAAGCCUGCGAAGGUGUGCUGUGAGGCAUGCUGGAGGUAUCAGAAGUGCGAAUGCUGACAUAAGUAACGAUAAAGCGGGUGAAAAGCCCGCUCGCCGGAAGACCAAGGGUUCCUGUCCAACGUUAAUCGGGGCAGGGUGAGUCGACCCCUAAGGCGAGGCCGAAAGGCGUAGUCGAUGGGAAACAGGUUAAUAUUCCUGUACUUGGUGUUACUGCGAAGGGGGGACGGAGAAGGCUAUGUUGGCCGGGCGACGGUUGUCCCGGUUUAAGCGUGUAGGCUGGUUUUCCAGGCAAAUCCGGAAAAUCAAGGCUGAGGCGUGAUGACGAGGCACUACGGUGCUGAAGCAACAAAUGCCCUGCUUCCAGGAAAAGCCUCUAAGCAUCAGGUAACAUCAAAUCGUACCCCAAACCGACACAGGUGGUCAGGUAGAGAAUACCAAGGCGCUUGAGAGAACUCGGGUGAAGGAACUAGGCAAAAUGGUGCCGUAACUUCGGGAGAAGGCACGCUGAUAUGUAGGUGAAGUCCCUCGCGGAUGGAGCUGAAAUCAGUCGAAGAUACCAGCUGGCUGCAACUGUUUAUUAAAAACACAGCACUGUGCAAACACGAAAGUGGACGUAUACGGUGUGACGCCUGCCCGGUGCCGGAAGGUUAAUUGAUGGGGUCAGCGCAAGCGAAGCUCUUGAUCGAAGCCCCGGUAAACGGCGGCCGUAACUAUAACGGUCCUAAGGUAGCGAAAUUCCUUGUCGGGUAAGUUCCGACCUGCACGAAUGGCGUAAUGAUGGCCAGGCUGUCUCCACCCGAGACUCAGUGAAAUUGAACUCGCUGUGAAGAUGCAGUGUACCCGCGGCAAGACGGAAAGACCCCGUGAACCUUUACUAUAGCUUGACACUGAACAUUGAGCCUUGAUGUGUAGGAUAGGUGGGAGGCUUUGAAGUGUGGACGCCAGUCUGCAUGGAGCCGACCUUGAAAUACCACCCUUUAAUGUUUGAUGUUCUAACGUUGACCCGUAAUCCGGGUUGCGGACAGUGUCUGGUGGGUAGUUUGACUGGGGCGGUCUCCUCCUAAAGAGUAACGGAGGAGCACGAAGGUUGGCUAAUCCUGGUCGGACAUCAGGAGGUUAGUGCAAUGGCAUAAGCCAGCUUGACUGCGAGCGUGACGGCGCGAGCAGGUGCGAAAGCAGGUCAUAGUGAUCCGGUGGUUCUGAAUGGAAGGGCCAUCGCUCAACGGAUAAAAGGUACUCCGGGGAUAACAGGCUGAUACCGCCCAAGAGUUCAUAUCGACGGCGGUGUUUGGCACCUCGAUGUCGGCUCAUCACAUCCUGGGGCUGAAGUAGGUCCCAAGGGUAUGGCUGUUCGCCAUUUAAAGUGGUACGCGAGCUGGGUUUAGAACGUCGUGAGACAGUUCGGUCCCUAUCUGCCGUGGGCGCUGGAGAAUUGAGGGGGGCUGCUCCUAGUACGAGAGGACCGGAGUGGACGCAUCACUGGUGUUCGGGUUGUCAUGCCAAUGGCACUGCCCGGUAGCUAAAUGCGGAAGAGAUAAGUGCUGAAAGCAUCUAAGCACGAAACUUGCCCCGAGAUGAGUUCUCCCUGACUCCUUGAGAGUCCUGAAGGAACGUUGAAGACGACGACGUUGAUAGGCCGGGUGUGUAAGCGCAGCGAUGCGUUGAGCUAACCGGUACUAAUGAACCGUGAGGCUUAACCUUACAACGCCGAAGGUGUUU
This 2933-nucleotide ribosomal RNA is filed under the name Escherichia coli. RNAcentral describes it as "bacterial LSU rRNA". It matches the Rfam family "Bacterial large subunit ribosomal RNA". The record is from RNAcentral. Lineage: Bacteria; Pseudomonadati; Pseudomonadota; Gammaproteobacteria; Enterobacterales; Enterobacteriaceae.